UCCCGGUGUAGGUGGCCUUGCUCCCGGUGUAGGUGGCCUUGUUCCCGGUGUGGGUGGCCUGGUCCCUGGUGUUGGAGGCGUCCCAGGGGUUGGAGUUCCGGGCGCAGCAGCGAAAGCAGCAGCAAAGGCAGCGAAAUUCGGAGCCGGGGUCGGAGGGGUGCCCGGUGUUGGUGUGCCCGGUGUUGGUGUGCCCGGUGUUGGUGUGCCC
RNA transcript from Manacus vitellinus (golden-collared manakin), 208 nucleotides. RefSeq lists it as uncharacterized. NCBI's taxonomy places the organism in Eukaryota, Metazoa, Chordata, Aves, Passeriformes, Pipridae. The transcript has 3 exons. The record is from RefSeq and is a predicted model, not a curated record.